This is a long non-coding RNA of Ictalurus punctatus (channel catfish), 1423 nucleotides long. The record is from Ensembl. Lineage: Eukaryota; Metazoa; Chordata; Actinopteri; Siluriformes; Ictaluridae.
UUUAUUUAUUUAUUUAUUUAUUUAUUUAUUUUUAUUUUUUUUAAUUGCUCUACAACUAAGACACAAACUGCUAGUUUAUUCCUUCCCUUUCCUCUUUUACUAUGUUUUAUUUUACUUUUUUAAUGUUCUGUCAGAAAAUCCAAACAGUUUUCAGCAUCCUGUGGUCCCAUCAUUAGAUUAUAUUGUCCAUUUGGCAUGAUAACAGACCUGUUGUUCAGCUAAACACUGUGUUCCUUAUGUGUUUGUGCAAUUCUUAGCCUUAGUCUAGCAACAUUAAAAUUUUUGUCUCAUUGAGUGAUCCUGAAGGGAUUGAAUAAUGUUUAAAUGCAACUCUAUUUUUAUAGACCGCUAUAAAGAGGGCAGGAGGAAAGCCAAAGAGGGCAUGACCUGGAAGUGUCUGAGCAAAAACCACCAAGGAGGAAUGUCUGGAUUGGCCCCUGUGGAGGUCAGGAGCAUUGUUUGGGGACCACCCAAACACAUUCUUACACCUGCCCCCACUGUUAACUUCCCCACAUUCACCCCAAACGGCACUUUCACCCUUGUUGCCCCCACCACUUUACCAGCAGCACAUGGCUCAUUCACAGAGAUGCUGCAGAACUGGCAGCCGAUGGACGAUAUGCAAUUGCUGCCAGGCUGUUAGACAUUACGAGGAGCCCCCCAGCAAUCAUGAGAACCAGGUAAACUGGUUGGCGCUUAUUGAUGGGGUAGAUGUGCGCAACUGCACCUGGUGCAUAUUGAAGAGGGUAAUUGCUAACUCCCUGGCAAAGAACCUCAACUGGAGGGAGUCAAUGGAAAGACUUCACUGGCAACUCUCCAACUCUGAGAGGUCACGAUUGCUGCAGUUCAUAGAAACCUUUCAUGGCUAAUGCUGCUGCGAUGGAGUUUGAGGGGACCAUGAAGAGGUUGCUCCAGCUGGCAUCAGAUCGCAAGUGUGGGCACAAGUGAAGACUUUUGCAAAAGGAAGGUGUUUAGAGUGUUUUAACUGUGGUGUGUUUUUGUGCUACUUGUUAAAAUGUUCAUAUUAUUGUCUGUUUUUAAUUGCUUAUAAAAGUGUGUGUGUGUGUGUGUGUGUGUGGAAGUUUACAUACCCGUUGCAGAAUCUACAAAAUAAGAUUGAUCAAAAAAUCCCAUGUUUUUAUUUAAUAUCUCCAUGAAUUAAGCUAUUUCACAUAACAUGUUUACAUAUAGUCCACAAGACAAUAGCUGAAUUCAUAAAAAAUUACCCUGUUUAAAAGUUUACAUACUCUUGGUUCUUUAUACUGUGUGUUACCUGGAUGAUCAACGACUGUUUUUAUGUUUUGUGAUCGCUGUUCAUGAGUCCCUUGUUUGUCCUGAGCAGUUAAACUGCCCACUGUUCUUCAGAAAAAUCCAGCAGGUCCUGCAAAUCGUUGCUUUUUCAGCAUCUUCUGCAUAUUUGAGCCCU